This 270-nucleotide ribosomal RNA is filed under the name uncultured prokaryote. RNAcentral describes it as "partial 16S ribosomal RNA". It matches the Rfam family "Bacterial small subunit ribosomal RNA", at positions 524 to 792 of the family's 1533-position model. The record is from RNAcentral.
UACGUAGGUGGCGAGCGUUGUCCGGAUUUACUGGGCGUAAAGGGAGCGUAGGCGGACUUUUAAGUUAGAUGUGAAAUACCCGGGCUCAACUUGGGUGCUGCAUUUCAAACUGGAAGUCUAGAGUGCAGGAGAGGAGAAUGGAAUUCCUAGUGUAGCGGUGAAAUGCGUAGAGAUUAGGAAGAACACCAGUGGCGAAGGCGAUUCUCUGGACUGUAACUGACGCUGAGGCUCGAAAGCGUGGGGAGGCAAACAGGAUUAGAUACCCUGGUA